GAUGAACGCUAGCGGCAGGCCUAAUACAUGCAAGCCGAACGGCGAGUUUGAUAGCAAUGUUGGACCUAGAGUGGCGCAAGGGUGCGUAACACGUAUGCAACCUGCCCGCGACAGGAGGAUAGCUCCCCGAAAGGGGAAUUAACCCUCCAUAACACCAUGAGAAGGCAUCUGUUUAUGGUUAAACCGCAAGGGGUCGCGGAUGGGCAUGCGGUUGAUUAGCUAGUUGGCGGGGUAAAGGCCCACCAAGGCGGUGAUCAAUAGGGGUCCGGUGAGGAGGGUCCCCCGCACUGGGACUGGGAUCCGGGCCAGACUCCUACGGGCGGCAGCAGUAGGUACUCUAGGACAAUGGUUGCAAGACUGAUCCAGCCAUGCCGCGUGCAGGAAGAAGGCCUUCUGGGUCGUAGACUGCUUUUUCCUGUGGAUAAAAUACCCGUGCGCGGGAAAUUGAAGGUAACAGGGGAAUAAGCCACGGCUAACUACGUG
This 483-nucleotide ribosomal RNA is filed under the name uncultured bacterium. RNAcentral describes it as "partial 16S ribosomal RNA". It matches the Rfam family "Bacterial small subunit ribosomal RNA", at positions 28 to 507 of the family's 1533-position model. The record is from RNAcentral.